UCCAGACUCCUACGGGAGGCAGCAGUGGGGGAUAUUGCACAAUGGGGGGAACCCUGAUGCAGCGACGCCGCGUGGGUGAAGGAGCGUUUCGGCGCGUAAAGCCCUAUCGGCAGGGAAGAAGGAGGACGGUACCUGACUAAGAAGCCCCGGCUAACUACGUGCCAGCAGCCGCGGUAAUACGUAGGGGGCAAGCGUUAUCCGGAUUUACUGGGUGUAAAGGGGGCGCAGACGGCAGCGCAAGCCAGGAGUGAAAGCCCGGGGCCCAACCCCGGGACUGCUCUUGGAACUGCGCGGCUGGAGUGCAGGAGGGGCAGGCGGAAUUCCUGGUGUAGCGGUGAAAUGCGUAGAUAUCAGGAGGAACACCGGUGGCGAAGGCGGCCUGCUGGACUGCGACUGACGUUGAGGCCCGAAAGCGUGGGGAGCAAACAGGAUUAGAUACCCCCGUAGU
RNAcentral lists this ribosomal RNA (448 nucleotides) under uncultured bacterium. Its description in RNAcentral is "partial 16S ribosomal RNA". It matches the Rfam family "Bacterial small subunit ribosomal RNA", at positions 330 to 794 of the family's 1533-position model. The record is from RNAcentral.